Molecule: ribosomal RNA, 465 nt
Filed under: uncultured bacterium
Lineage: Bacteria
Description: partial 16S ribosomal RNA
Rfam family: Bacterial small subunit ribosomal RNA
Source: RNAcentral
CCUACGGGAGGCAGCAGUGGGGGAUUUUGCGCAAUGCUCGUAAGAGUGACGCAGCGACGCCGCGUGAAUGACGAAGGCCUUCGGGUCGUAAAGUUCUUUCGACAGGGAAGAAAAUGCCUAUAAGUAACUGUGUAUGUAUUGACGGUACCUGUAUAAGCAGCGCCGGCUAACUACGUGCCAGCAGCCGCGGUAAUACGGAGGGGGGGAGCGUUGUCCGGAGUGACUGGGAGUAAAGGGCACGUAGGCGGUGUUGUAAGUCAUUAGUCAAAGACUAGAGCUCAACUUUAGUAAGGCUAGUGAUACUAUAAUACGAGAGUAUCGGAGAGGAUGGCAGAAUUCCUGGUGUAGCGGUGAAAUGCGUAGAUAUCAGGAGGAAUACCGGUAGCGAAGGCGGCAAUCUGGCUGGAAACUGACGCUGAGGUGCGAAAGCGUGGGUAGCAAACAGGAUUAGAUACCCGGGUAGUC